GUGCAGCAGGCGAGAAACCUCCGCAAUACACGAAAGUGUGACGGGGCCAUCCCGAGUGCCGUCCGCUGAGGACGGCUGUUCCCCAGUGUACACAGCGUGGGGGAAUAAGGAGAGGGCAAGCCUGGUGUCAGCCGCCGCGGUAAUACCAGCUCUCCGAGUGGUGGGGACGCUUAUUGGGCCUAAAGCAUCCGUAGCCGGCUGGGCAAGUCCUCCGUUAAAUCCAACGAUUCAAUCGUUGGGCU
RNAcentral lists this ribosomal RNA (242 nucleotides) under uncultured microorganism. RNAcentral's name for it is "partial 16S ribosomal RNA". It matches the Rfam family "Archaeal small subunit ribosomal RNA", at positions 330 to 572 of the family's 1478-position model. The record is from RNAcentral.